UACGUAGGGGGCGAGCGUUGUCCGGAAUUACUGGGCGUAAAGAGCGCGUAGGCGGACUGCCAAGUCAGAUGUGAAAUCUCCAGGGCUCAACCCGGAAACUGCAUUUGAUACUGGCAGACUUGAGAGAUGAAGGGGCAAGUAGAAUUCCUGGUGUAGCGGUGAAAUGCAUUGAUAUCAGGAGGAAUACCCGUAGCGAAGGCGGCUUGCUGGGCAUCUUCUGACGCUGAGGCGCGAAAGCAGGGGUAGCAAACGGG
This 254-nucleotide ribosomal RNA is filed under the name uncultured bacterium. RNAcentral describes it as "partial 16S ribosomal RNA". It matches the Rfam family "Bacterial small subunit ribosomal RNA", at positions 524 to 776 of the family's 1533-position model. The record is from RNAcentral.